AGAGAGAGACAUGCGCGCAUAUCAAUAAGCGGAGGAAAAGAAACUAACUAGGAUUCCCUCAGUAACGGCGAGUGAAGCGGGAAGAGCUCAAAUUUGAAAUCUUCAAGGUUCUACCUUGACGAAUUGUAGUUUAAAGAAGUGUUUUCUGUUGGAGGUUUUGGUAAAAGUUCUUUGGAAUAGGACAUCAUAGAGGGUGAGAAUCCCGUAUUUGACCAUUAUUUUCAGCUUUGUGAUACACUUUCAAAGAGUCGGAUUGUUUGGGAAUGCAGUCCAAAAUGGGUGGUAAAUUUCAUCUAAAGCUAAAUAUUGGCGAGAGACCGAUAGCGAACAAGUACCGUGAGGGAAAGAUGAAAAGAACUUUGAAAAGAGAGUUAAACAGUACGUGAAAUUGUCAAAAGGGAAGCGUUUGGACACCAGUGUUGUUUUCUCGAAAAUCAAUUAAAAAAGGCAGGAUUUUGUGUUGUAUUGACUUUAUCAGCUUUCUGCACUCUUUUCUUGUCUUUUUUAAUGCACUUUUCGUUUAACAAGUCAACAUCAAUUUCUUUUGUUGUAAAAGGGUCAUUGGAAGGUGGCUUUCUUUUCGGAGAAAGUGUUUAUAGCCUUUGGCCUCUGCAAUCGGAGAGAUUGAGGUCUGCAGCGUAGAUCCUUCGGGGUUAGAUACAUUUGUGCUAAGUUAUAGCCUUUCAUAGACAACUUGUUGACUAUGAUCAGUCAUGUAGCUUACUCGCUUAUGCUAUUUUACCUACGCUUAGGAUGUUGAUGUGAUACUGCGAGCA
Molecule: ribosomal RNA, 776 nt
Filed under: uncultured Neocallimastigales
Lineage: Eukaryota; Fungi; Neocallimastigomycota; Neocallimastigomycetes; Neocallimastigales
Description: partial large subunit ribosomal RNA
Rfam family: Eukaryotic large subunit ribosomal RNA
Source: RNAcentral